This 119-nucleotide ribosomal RNA is filed under the name Diaphorina citri (Asian citrus psyllid). The record is from RNAcentral. Lineage: Eukaryota; Metazoa; Arthropoda; Insecta; Hemiptera; Psyllidae.
GCCAACGUUCAUAUCACGUUGAAUACACCAGUUCUCGUCCGAUCACUGAAGUUAAGCAACGUUGAGCGUGGAUAGUACUUGGAUGGGUGACCGCUUGGGAACAUCACGUAACGUUGGCG